CUAUAUCGUUAAACCACCAAUCUUACUUGUAUUCAAGUCUGCAGCUGCUGCACCUACCCCUGACUUGUCUGCUGACAUCAGCAGAAGUGAUCUGAGCCAAUCAAAAUGCUUUCACAUAGGAUUGGCUGAGACUGUCAAGGAGGCAGAUUAGGGGCAGAGCCAACACAAGUCAAACACAGCUCUGGCCAAUUAGCAUCACCUCGUAGAGAUGCAUUGAAUCAGUGCAUCUCUAUGAGGAAAUUUCAGUGUCUGCAUGCAGAGAGUGGAGACACUGAAUGCUAGUACUGCACACUGUGCAGCACUGCCCCAGGAACCACCUCCAGGAGCCAUCUGAGGAGUGACCAGUGGAGUUAUCACUAGGCUGUAAUGUAAACACUGCAUGUUCUCUGAAAAGACAUUGUAUACAGCAAAAAGCCUGAAGGGAAUGAUUUUACUCACCAGGACAAAUACAAUAAACUGUAGUUGUUCUGGUGACUAUAGUGUCCCUUUAAAGAUUGUUAGUGUUAAGUAAAGUGAGAAUUCAAAGUAAAUUCAGACAAUUUCAAAUUGAAUUUCACAAUAGUUGAACUGGAAAAAUUCUGUUAGCCAGCUAUAUUUUCAGUUCAGCUACUCUGGCUUUAAACUUGAC
Pelobates cultripes (western spadefoot toad) is the source of this 628-nucleotide non-coding RNA. The record is from the annotation of a GenBank genome assembly. NCBI's taxonomy places the organism in Eukaryota, Metazoa, Chordata, Amphibia, Anura, Pelobatidae.